GAUGAACGCUGGCGGCGUGCCUAAUACAUGCAAGUCGAGCGAACGGACGAGAAGCUUGCUUCUCUGAUGUUAGCGGCGGACGGGUGAGUAACACGUGGAUAACCUACCUAUAAGACUGGGAUAACUUCGGGAAACCGGAGCUAAUACCGGAUAAUAUUUUGAACCGCAUGGUUCAAAAGUGAAAGACGGUCUUGCUGUCACUUAUAGAUGGAUCCGCGCUGCAUUAGCUAGUUGGUAAGGUAACGGCUUACCAAGGCAACGAUGCAUAGCCGACCUGAGAGGGUGAUCGGCCACACUGGAACUGAGACACGGUCCAGACUCCUACGGGAGGCAGCAGUAGGGAAUCUUCCGCAAUGGGCGAAAGCCUGACGGAGCAACGCCGCGUGAGUGAUGAAGGUCUUCGGAUCGUAAAACUCUGUUAUUAGGGAAGAACAUAUGUGUAAGUAACUGUGCACAUCUUGACGGUACCUAAUCAGAAAGCCACGGCUAACUACGUGCCAGCAGCCGCGGUAAUACGUAGGUGGCAAGCGUUAUCCGGAAUUACUGGGCGUAAAGCGCGCGUAGGCGGUUUUUUAAGUCUGAUGUGAAAGCCCACGGCUCAACCGUGGAGGGUCAUUGGAAACUGGAAAACUUGAGUGCAGAAGAGGAAAGUGGAAUUCCAUGUGUAGCGGUGAAAUGCGCAGAGAUAUGGAGGAACACCAGUGGCGAAGGCGACUUUCUGGUCUGUAACUGACGCUGAUGUGCGAAAGCGUGGGGAUCAAACAGGAUUAGAUACCCUGGUAGUCCACGCCGUAAACGAUGAGUGCUAAGUGUUAGGGGGUUUCCGCCCCUUAGUGCUGCAGCUAACGCAUUAAGCACUCCGCCUGGGGAGUACGACCGCAAGGUUGAAACUCAAAGGAAUUGACGGGGACCCGCACAAGCGGUGGAGCAUGUGGUUUAAUUCGAAGCAACGCGAAGAACCUUACCAAAUCUUGACAUCCUUUGACAACUCUAGAGAUAGAGCCUUCCCCUUCGGGGGACAAAGUGACAGGUGGUGCAUGGUUGUCGUCAGCUCGUGUCGUGAGAUGUUGGGUUAAGUCCCGCAACGAGCGCAACCCUUAAGCUUAGUUGCCAUCAUUAAGUUGGGCACUCUAAGUUGACUGCCGGUGACAAACCGGAGGAAGGUGGGGAUGACGUCAAAUCAUCAUGCCCCUUAUGAUUUGGGCUACACACGUGCUACAAUGGACAAUACAAAGGGCAGCGAAACCGCGAGGUCAAGCAAAUCCCAUAAAGUUGUUCUCAGUUCGGAUUGUAGUCUGCAACUCGACUACAUGAAGCUGGAAUCGCUAGUAAUCGUAGAUCAGCAUGCUACGGUGAAUACGUUCCCGGGUCU
RNAcentral lists this ribosomal RNA (1372 nucleotides) under uncultured bacterium. Its description in RNAcentral is "bacterial SSU rRNA". It matches the Rfam family "Bacterial small subunit ribosomal RNA", at positions 28 to 1381 of the family's 1533-position model. The record is from RNAcentral.